Molecule: transfer RNA, 74 nt
Filed under: Hypnea brasiliensis
Lineage: Eukaryota; Rhodophyta; Florideophyceae; Gigartinales; Hypneaceae
Description: tRNA-Gln
Rfam family: tRNA
About the family: Transfer RNA (tRNA) molecules are approximately 80 nucleotides in length. Their secondary structure includes four short double-helical elements and three loops (D, anti-codon, and T loops). Further hydrogen bonds mediate the characteristic L-shaped molecular structure. tRNAs have two regions of fundamental functional importance: the anti-codon, which is responsible for specific mRNA codon recognition, and the 3' end, to which the tRNAs corresponding amino acid is attached (by aminoacyl-tRNA synthetases). tRNAs cope with the degeneracy of the genetic code in two manners: having more than one tRNA (with a specific anti-codon) for a particular amino acid; and 'wobble' base-pairing, i.e. permitting non-standard base-pairing at the 3rd anti-codon position.
Source: RNAcentral
UGACGUAUAGCCAAAUCAGGUAAGGCGAUAACUUUUGGUGUUAUAAAUUAGAGGUUCGAAUCCUUUUACGUCAG